Molecule: ribosomal RNA, 262 nt
Filed under: uncultured bacterium
Lineage: Bacteria
Description: partial 16S ribosomal RNA
Rfam family: Bacterial small subunit ribosomal RNA
Source: RNAcentral
UAACACGUAAACAACCUGCCUUCAGGAUGGGGACAACAGACGGAAACGACUGCUAAUACCGAAUAAGUUCCAAGAGCCGCAUGGCCCAUGGAAGAAAAGGUAGGCCUCUACCUGUAAGCUAUCGCCUGAAGAGGGGUUUGCGUCUGAUUAGCUGGUUGGAGGGGUAACGGCCCACCAAGGCGACGAUCAGUAGCCGGUCUGAGAGGAUGAACGGCCACACUGGAACUGAGACACGGUCCAGACUCCUACGGGAGGCAGCAUG